UCUCGGCUGCUGGAAUGCAUCGAGAUCUAAAGCUCCGGCGCCUAAGGAUGGGUCUGCGGCCUAUCAGGUAGUAGUGGGUGUAGCGUACCUACUAGCCUACGACGGGUACGGGUUGUGAGAGCAAGAGCCCGGAGAUGGAUUCUGAGACACGAAUCCAGGCCCUACGGGGUGCAGCAGGCGCGAAAACUUUACAAUGCUGGAAACAGCGAUAAGGGGACCUCGAGUGCCAGGUUACAAAUCUGGCUAUCGUGAUGCCUAAAAAGCAUUGCAUAGCAAGGGCCGGGCAAGACCGGUGCCAGCCGCCGCGGUAACACCGGCGGCUCGAGUGGUAACCGUUAUUAUUGGGUCUAAAGGGUCUGUAGCCGGCCGGAUAAGUCUCUUGGGAAAUCCAGCAGCUCAACUGUUGGGCUUUCAGGAGAUACUGUCUGGCUCGAGGCCGGGAGAGGUGAGAGGUACUUCAGGGGUAGGGGUGAAAUCUUGUAAUCCUUGAAGGACCACCAGUGGCGAAGGCGUCUCACCAGAACGGACCUGACGGCAAGGGACGAAAGCUAGGGGCACGAACCGGAUUAGAUACCCGGGUAGUCCUAGCCGUAAACGAUGCAGGCUAGGUGUUUGGACGGCCACGUGCCGUUCUAGUGCCGCAGGGAAGCUGUUAAGCCUGCCGCCUGGGGAGUACGAUCGCAAGAUUGAAACUUAAAGGAAUUGGCGGGGGAGCACCACAAGGGGUGAAGCUUGCGGUUUAAUUGGAGU
RNAcentral lists this ribosomal RNA (750 nucleotides) under uncultured archaeon. Its description in RNAcentral is "bacterial SSU rRNA". It matches the Rfam family "Archaeal small subunit ribosomal RNA", at positions 161 to 912 of the family's 1478-position model. The record is from RNAcentral.